Molecule: ribosomal RNA, 2079 nt
Filed under: Triticum aestivum (bread wheat)
Lineage: Eukaryota; Viridiplantae; Streptophyta; Magnoliopsida; Poales; Poaceae
Description: partial small subunit ribosomal RNA
Source: RNAcentral
AUGUGCCCGGCGAGGAUUUCUGUGCUGCGCCUCCGCAUUCUCCCUCUCUCCCUCUGCUCUCUUCCUUCCUGCUCAGCGUGCCUGCCCUCGCUUCCGCACCGCUCCCCUUCGUGCAUCCCACCGGCGACCAUGGUCAAGGAGAAGACGGCGGCGUUGGAGCGUGCCAAGAAGGCGUCGGUAUCGGAGAAGGCGAAGGGGAGAUCCACCAGCCGCCGAGGAUCCUCGUCCAGAUCCCGCCUGCCGAAAGGCUGGGUCCAGGGCGACUGGAUCCAGUCGACCAUCACGGAGAAGGACCUCCUCGACAUGGCCGACGAGGGUUUGAUCCCUCACGGAGCCGCGAGGUUGCCGGGGAAGGAGUGGCAGCCACAGCCAGAAGAGGGUGAGUGUGCGCUCCUGGCCACUCAUGUCGAUCGGGGGUUUUCCUUGCCACCGAGCAUUUUCUUCCGGGGUUUCCUGAAUUUCUUUGGGGCGCAGCUCCACCACUUUACCCCAAACUCCAUUGCCUACCUUGCUGCGUUCGUGUCCAUGUGCGAGGGUUUCUUGGGCUGUCGACCGCACUGGGGUCUGUUCAAACGUAUCUUCACGUGUCGCUCUCAGACCGUGAAGAAGGCGAGCCCAGGUGACGAGAAGACCCGAGUCGUCCAAAUGUGUGGGGGCCUGGGGAUUCAGGUGAGGAACAAUAGCACCUUCCCGCCCAUGUCUUUUCCCGAGUCCGUCAGGGGCUGGCAGUCGACUUGGUUCUACUGCCAGGUCCAGUCGACGCCAGGGCAGUCGAGUGGACUCCCUCAGUUUACCAUGGACCGAGUGAACAAGCCCUCCCCUCUGAAGCUGAUUCCGGAGGAGAAAGCCGACGUGAAGAUGUUGAUGGAGCGAGUGGUGCAGCUGGUUCGGGACGGAGUGACAGGCAUGGACCUCUUGGAGGUUUUCCUCAAGCGCCGCAUCCAACCUCUCCAGUUCCGGAGCCACUGCAUGUGGUUGUACUGUGGGCCCGCGGACGAGACCAGAGUCCAUCCAGAAGAAGUCGACGAUGUCACUCUGGAAAGGUGGAUGGUAGCCGUUACCGGGAACAGGGACAACCCGCGCGGAGCCAGAAGGAUUCCUCCACUCGACCACGACAGCAUCCCAAACAAGGCCUUCAUCGAGCUGUACUCGAUGCCCAAUGGGGCACAAACUUCGACUGAAGAAGGCGAGGCGAGCGGGGGCGAGGCGAGCGGAGGUGAGGCGAGCGGGGGCGAGAGCCAGGGAGAGGAGGAAUGGGACUCGGAUGCUGCAGGGGAUAACGACGACGAUGAUGAUGAUGAAGGUGAUGAAGGUGACCUCGAGGACGAGGAAGAAGAGGAGGAGGAGGUCGUUCCACCGCGCUCAGAAAGGCGGUCGAAACUUGUCCACGACCCCUCGACCGAACGUGGUAAGGGGGUAGCGACCGCCGCCCAGUCGACCAAGCGCCCUCGGACCACCUCUCCGGCGCCGACUGAAAAGGCGCCGAAGCAGCCCAGGGCGGCCUCAUCGAAGCCGGCCAAGCUUCUGCCGAAGAUGAAGGUGUCCAUCCCCACCAUUUCAGGUGCUGCUACUUCUGAGACCUCGACCCGGGCCGACGACCACGAGAUGGAGGAUGCUGCAACUUCGAAUCCAGCUCCACCCAACACUGUUAUCGAUCUGCCUGAUGAUGAUGAGGAUGAGGAGCCGCUGAAGCGCAGGAGGAGUCGGAAAGCGCCUGCCGGCAAGGCGUCUCAGGAUGCGUCAGCGCCUGAGAUUCUGACUGUGGAGGGAGAGAACACCACUCGACACACGGUGACCUUCGCGACCCCACUGACGAGUGCUCAGCAGCCUUCCCUCUUCACGACUCACCACGUCCCAGAGGACCAAGCUGGUGCGGCGAAGGAGGCGAUACGCCAGGCGGGACUCAUGAUGGAGCAGCUGAAGACCAUCCGGGAUGCGAGUCAAGCAGCCUAUGACGCCAGCUCUGCCCUCCAAAGCAAUGUCCAGGUCAGUCGACUGCUGUUUGUUCUGUUGGAUACGCUCCCAAAAACUUUUCUUUUCCGGGAUUUAUAUUGGUCACCCACUGGGAGUGUUGAAUAA